RNAcentral lists this ribosomal RNA (301 nucleotides) under uncultured bacterium. Its description in RNAcentral is "partial 16S ribosomal RNA". It matches the Rfam family "Bacterial small subunit ribosomal RNA", at positions 509 to 807 of the family's 1533-position model. The record is from RNAcentral.
CAGUCGCCGCGGUAAUACGAAGGGUGCAAGCGUUAAUCGGAAUUACUGGGCGUAAAGCGUGCGUAGGCGGUUUGUUAAGUCUGUUGUGAAAUCCCCGGGCUCAACCUGGGAAUGGCAAUGGAUACUGGCAAGCUAGAGUGUGUCAGAGGAUGGUGGAAUUCCCGGUGUAGCGGUGAAAUGCGUAGAGAUCGGGAGGAACAUCAGUGGCGAAGGCGGCCAUCUGGGACAACACUGAUGCUGAGGCACGAAAGCGUGGGGAGCAAACAGGAUUAGAUACCCCAGUAGUCCCUGUCUCUUAUAC